Rhopilema esculentum is the source of this 3734-nucleotide non-coding RNA. NCBI's taxonomy places the organism in Eukaryota, Metazoa, Cnidaria, Scyphozoa, Rhizostomeae, Rhizostomatidae. The record is from RefSeq and is a predicted model, not a curated record.
CCGAACGUUGACUUAAACAGCUGCAUAUUUGAAGAUGUCAUUGUGACAGGAGCUCCACGUUGUGCAAAGUUGAUCAAAAACUUUUGAUCUUGCACGUUAUGCUGUGGAGCAACAGGAGUCGGUGAUGGUGGUGGCUGCGCAGCCGGUGUUGGAGAAGCAGGUUGCUGAAUGGGAAUGAAAGUUGGAAUUGGAAUGUGGAUUGUCUGCGUUGGUGUGUUUGGUUGCGGCUGUGGAGGAGGAGCUAGAGGCUGUUGUGGUGGCUGUCAGUGAAAAAGAAAAAACGAUUUGGAUCAAUGAUGCUAUGUGAUUGUCGACUGAUUAACCGAUUGGUCAGAUGUGUAACAAGCUGGAUAUCAAAUGCGAAGGAGCUGUCUUUUCCUAAGUGAAAAGCUUACCGUUGGCAUUCGAGGCAAAUGAAACAAUCUCGUGAAAUGUCUUUGUCCAUUGGUUGUGUCCCUGAAAGACAUUUAGCAGAGAUCAUUUCUGACUUUUUGUCUACUGUCGUAGAAACAAUUGGAAGAAUGAGAUGAGGUUAUGGGUGGUUCUUCACAGAUUUAGAAUGUUACAAUGAAUUCAUGUUUUAAAAAAUGUGAAGCCAGAAACCAUGGUAAACAAUGUGAAUAAAUGGCAUUGAAUUGCUUUUUAAUUUAGGAUCUGAUAGGCAAAACUUUGAAUAUACAAUGAGCAUACAGGACCUAGACAAGACGUUGGUGACAAUGUGAGUCUAUAUCUUCAGUAGGUUUAUUCUGGUUCAUUAGGUCCUAGUUAAUAUUUGCGAUGAACGAAACAUAUACAAUAAACCUUUCCCUGUGUUUUAUAUGUUUUGUGGUUUAUAUUUUCUUGCCAUCUUGGUAUUUCACUAAAAAUCUUUAAACUUAGGCAUAUCACAUAACAUACGCAUGCAUCCAUAAGAACAAAUUACAGAGUAGCGGACUGCAGAGUAAUGACUUUGUCACACCAAGGCAACAGCAACAUACUGUCAACAUUUUAAACCUACAUUUAUAAUCAUAUCUAAUUUUCUGGGUUGUUCUCAAUAAUCUUACUUGAAUUUCAAAUUUUCUAGUAUGUAAGAUCACGUAUCGAGAAGAACUGCUCUCGCUAGAAAUAUUUAUAAUCAUCCAUUAUCUGUAUUUAAAAACUUCAAUCUGUUGAAGUCAAACAACCCAAACGAUAUGGGAAUUUUUAUUGCAGAUGAAGGAAUGAUCUGUGGAAACUUUUGAUAGAAAGGCAGCUGUUACCAAAUGAAGAAUGCAGAAAUGCAAAAAAUUGGACUAAUUGAGAAUAUUCACCUUGUAUAAGAAGCAAGAUUAAAAUUUCAACCUUUAAUGUCACAAGUUGUAGAUAACAAAAUAUAUUCAAAAUAAAUUCCUUUAAAAAAAGGGUCAUUUGGAAAUACUAUCACCUUACUCAAAGUGAGAGAAACAACUAUGCAAUUCUCAGAAUUACAAUCGGCAUCAGCUUAAAAGCAGACAUUGUAGAUUAUAGUCUACACCUAAAGUAUUGCAUCUUAUCGAAAAGCUCAAUUUUUUUUUCUGUAAGUGAGGACAUUGGCGUAGGAGACAAAGAAGCAGGGAUGACCAGCAGGGACGGCUGCAGCCCCCAAAAGCAAUUGGCCUUUCAAGCCCAAUACGAGCAGUCCUGUCUCAAUGAAGCAAUAAUAUUCAGGCAAGAUCAUUACUAAGACCCCACCCCCCUGCUACCCUCCAAAAAAUCUUGCAUACUCGACGCUAAAUUGUGACGCGGGAAAAUUUUAUGAUUAGAAGGGUGUCUACUCUUCUUUACACGUUGGAGGUUUUCCUGUGUUUUCUCCAUUAUUCGGCUUUGGUUACUUUCUUUGUUGGAAAAAACUUUCAAUAGGAACAUUUUUGAAAAAAAGGGAAAUCUGAAAAAUGGAGCCACUUUUUUAGCUCCUGGAAAAAUGGAGGCUGAUUUUAUCCUCUUUCCUUUAAUAUUAGAUAAAAAAUCAACGAAUAUUUUUACCAUUUCAGAAAAUUUGAAUCUAUAAUAUUGCCUUAUUGAAAUGAAGGUCCAAAUCAAGGCUUUUUAAGGGCACCUUCCUCAAAAACAGACCAUUAAAUUUAAUAGCAGAACGUAGUGCAGGAAUGCAAAUUGAAAAUACAAAAGAAAAAAAUUUUCUAAAAUUGUCAACAGAGUAGCAACAUUUUUGAGGAUUUCCAAUAUGGUCGAUGCUUUAGGCGGGGAGGGCUGUCACCCUUUGGCUAUCUCUUCUUACCCACAGAUGGGAUCUAUAGAAACCAAAAGAUAUUAAUGCAAAGAGAUGGCCUGGCUUUUGAAAGUUGAGAAGCCUUCCUCUCCUUUCUACUUUCUAUGCAUCGAUGUUAUUGGAAAUAUACACACAGGCAGUACUCUGUUCGUAAUUGUUCUCUCAAGUCACUGGGGACAUUUGCUAGAAAAGGCAAAGCCUUCAAAAACCAAUGUAUUCAUUCUACACAAUAAUGGCAGGAUAAGCUUGAAACUUUUCUCUCAAUCAUUGCCUAAGUUGUAUAAAUUCUACUUGCAGGUCUUCUUGGAAAGUGACGAUUCCGUUCAAGAGGGUUUGCCUGAUCAAAGCACACAUAUCUGGUAGGGCCGUGUCUUACAGCAUAAGCAUCGCUAUCGACAUCUCAGCUCGACCCAAGAACUAUAUGAUUGUAAAGCAUGUAAAAAGAGCCGGUCUUAAUCAGAUCUUAGCUUUUUGUUUUUCAGUUUAAGAGAAUACAAGUAAUCUUUAAAACUGAUGCACGUCUACCCCCACUGAACAGAAAACCAGCAUCGUAGCAUACCAUUUCCGAUUAACCGUUAAUCGCUCACCUCCAAAACUCCUCCAUUUGAAUGGCUUCAUUUUAAACAAAAGCGAUCUCCUUUUAAGAUCGACUAUGUUCUUAAUGACUACCCAGUUUGAGCGAGGAGAGAACCUCCCCAGCCAAGCCUCUAGCUUUACAAAUCGUCUAUUGAAUUUCUUUUGUUAAAUGUGAGAAGUCUUUGAAUUGGUAGUUUGCUCAAGAGAAGUAUUUUUUGUAGCUUCGUUAUUCAGCCGAUUUUUUCGUUGAAUUGUGAAAUGAUGAACUGAGACAUUAACCUCUUCGUGUAUAUUUUUCGUUUAUUUUUCCUGCUUUUCCUAACUUGGAAAAUUGACAGUUUUCGCAAGCCGGUCACUACAUUCCUUUCUUUACACAAAGAGAGCCUUUUGUCUCCGAUUGAAUAGGCAGUGUUUCAACUAAAUGUUGCAUUUCUGGCAAAAGUAUACAGUGUAUCAAUUUAUGCGUUAUACCACAGGAUGCAGGAGAUUGUGCCCGUUCUGUUGGUUUUUUCGCUGAGACGAUCGGACCAUUUUUGACAAAGUUAUUCGACUUUUUCUCAGUUUUGACCGAGGGGGAUUCAGGAUUGCACAAAGCAGUUCAGAAAAAACAAUAGGCUUGUGAUUCCCCGAGUUUGUAAAGAUCUCAGUUUUUGGUGAUUUACUCCUAAACUAAAAUAGCUAUGAAUUUCUAGUUUAAUUCAUGAGACGGGCCGUUCGAUGCUCGAUUUUUUGAGCCAUUCCCCGUAUUUUUAGGACCAGUUUUAGCCGAGUUAUUAAGGAUUUUGACUCGAAAAUCGCCAAAAAACGGUUUUUUGGACUUUAAAAAUCGAAAACAGCUGAUAAAAAUCUGCUGAUACUUUCUAAAAAUCGAGGCAAAAAUCACCUAAAUUCUGAUAUAUAGCUUUCUCUGUUUGAAGCUCGCGUUUCUUUUUAA